Molecule: long non-coding RNA, 3712 nt
Organism: Carassius gibelio (silver crucian carp)
Lineage: Eukaryota; Metazoa; Chordata; Actinopteri; Cypriniformes; Cyprinidae
Exons: 3
Source: RefSeq, a predicted model, not a curated record
UUACCCUUAACCUUUGAAGCAAAACUUUUUUUGGUUGCUGUAAUUGUGAGAUUGCUGCUAGAUAAGCCAAUAAAGAGUAAGACCAAGUGGUGUUGCUUGUUUUGACAGCAUUUGGUCUGGAUUUCAGUUGUCCUAUGUUUGAAAAGCAUAAGGUCUGGACAUUUAAAAAAAAAAAGGCACAAAAAAGGUUAUUUAGGCACACAAACAUCAAGAAUCAGCCUGAGAAUCUCAACAAUGGUGACCAUCAAAAAGCUUGUUGCACUGCAUUCUGGGUGCCACCAAUCAAAACUGAUUUAUGAAUCCCAUCAUGUUGUCUGUCACCAUUCUUGAGAAACAUAUGCUGUUUCUUGAUGUCACUUAGUGCCAAAGAGAAAGUUUCCCUUCUCCAUCACAUUUUUUUUUCCUUAAUCAGAAUUCUUAAACUCUGGAUUUCAUACAAAAAUCCAGGUCUUCUAUUGCAGAAUUACAGAUGUUGCUUUAAUGAAUGUCAAUUUGUCUCCGAUAACAGGCUCAAUUUAUAACGCUCAAGCCAAACAAAGACCACCGCAAUUCUGUCAGCAAAACUUGCUGUUAUAAUUGAGUUACAACAACAGUACAAAAUGUAACAUUAAAAAGUCAAGGGUCAAGAGCCCAACUAAAGCAAACACUGACCACUAUAAUGGUAACCCUAUAAAUGUACCCUUUUUUCCUUCAGUGAUUCUGUUUGUGAACCUUAGGUGUCUUCAAUAACUUUUGGGGGACUGAAGACACACACUUCUGAACAUGAUGCCUGUAUCAUAUCUAUUUAAGCAACAAAAAUGUGAACAUGUAUAGUGUUUAAUGAUCCCCAACUACUGGCCUGGCAUGUAUAACAUAGUAUUCUUUAGCAUAGUGUUUUUUGUUUGUUUGUUUUCAAUAACAUCAAUAUUUUUGUGAAAAUUUUAAUUAAUUUUUUCAUGUUAUUCUACUCAUUUUGAAUGGUUGGUUGUAACCAUCUAAUUUGAUUAUUAAUAAUUAAUUAUAAAGUGUUAAAUUUAAUUAAUAAUAUUGAAUGUAACAUUUUAAACAAUUUUAUUGAGUAAAUAAAGUGAAUCAUUUUUUACAGUGUAGAAACCUUAGCAGAAAAUGAUUUAUAUAAAUGAGCUUCAACACUUGCUCUAUCAUUAUUUUUCUGUCAAACUGCUCUACCUUUAACAGUGACAGUAACAGCGUCUGAUCUCUGAGAUCCAUGUUGAUUGUGAGCCUCACAGUAGAAGCGUCCACUCUGUAGUGCACUGAAACUCUGUCCAGAUCCAACAGCUGAGCUUUGAUUCUCCUUAAACCAGCUGAAGUUCAGAGCAGGAGGGUUUGAAUCACUGCUGCAGAUCAGAGUCACUGAAUCUCCCUCCACUAUUACACCUGAUCCAUUUAUAGACACUGAGACAUUCCUGGGAGGAUCUGAAAACAAUCACCACACUAUUAAAGACCUCUUAUAAAUUAAAAAAAUAUUAAUGUGAGCUAAAAUUAUAAAAACAAUCUAAUAUACGCACAUGUGACGUUUAAAGUCACACCAGCAGAGUAUUUCUCUCCAUGUUUAUUUCUGGACUUGCACUUGUAUUCUCCACUGUGAUCAGAGCUGAUCUUUGAGAUGCUGUAGAUUCUUCCAGAUCCUACAAACUUUUUUUCUUUAAACCAGCUGAUUUCUGCAGGAGGGUUUGAAUCACUGCUGCAGAUCAGAGUCACUGAAUCUCCCUCCAAUAUUACAGAUGGACUGGUGGACACUGAGACGCUUUUUGGUGGAUCUAAAGAGGACACAUAUGAAAUGUGUAGUUCAAAUCAUUAACUCAGCAAGUUCAAAAUAACUAAUGAGUCUGUACUCACAGGUGACAUUUAGCUGAGCAGCAGGAGAGAUGUAAGUGUGUCCAUGUAGAGCACAGCUGUAUCUGCCUGCAUCCUCUCUUCUGACUGACUGCAGCAGGAGUUGAUUGUUUCUGUCUCUUCUCUCAGUUAAUGGCUGUGAGUUUCUGUACCAGAUGAAUGUUGCUCUGUCAGUCAGAGUGCAGCUGCUUUUACAUGUCAGACUGACAUUAUGACCCUCUGUCACUCUCUCAGGAGCCUCCACCUGAAGAUCUGAACACAACACACACAUUAUAUCUAGUGCUGCUGUCAUACACUGAUUAUUAUUCAACAUAAUGCUCAGAAGAAGAGCUCAGCCUCAUGAAAGUCACCUGUGACAGUAAGAUUCACUCCUGGAUUACCAAGCCAUUUCACAUCAGGUUCAUCAGAGAUGAAUUUGAAACAGUACAAGUGUUGGUCGUUCUGUGUCACAUGACUCAGUCUGAUGGUGCAGUUCUGCUGUUUGUCUCCCAGAUACUGAAGCCUCUGACUGUAUUCAGGAUCAUCAGACAGAUCUGGAGGCUCUUCAGCCUUUACAGGGUUUUUGGUCCAGAACACUUUCUCAAUCUUAUAUCCAGUAGGGUAUGUAUAAGUGCAGCUCAUUAUCACUGAUGAGUUCUUUAGUGCACAGAUGUGUGAAGGACUGUAACUCACACCCCAACCUUUUUCACUGAAAACAUCUGAAAUGAGUUUUGUUUUAUUUAAACAAAAACUACAAUUAACAUCAAUAUUUCUUCAGUAAAACAACAGUAAGAUAAUUUUGGCAUUGAAUUAAUAAGGAAAUCACUGGAUAGACAUAACAAAGACACACUUCACGCGGGUCUUCAUGCUGCACACACUGUAAAAAAUAAUUCAGUGGCUUAGUAAAUUUCACAAAAAUAAAGAGCUAUAUUUACUUAAUAAAAUCUUUUGAAAUCAUUUAAGUGAUAUUUUGAGUGGGUCAGGUUAAAAAUAAUAAUUAAAAAUCCAACAAAUAAUUUCUCUAAAAUUUACAUAUAUUAUUUAAGUUUAUGUAAUGAAAAUAAAUAAGUAUUUAACUAACUAAUUAUAUUUUUAAUAUACCCUCAAUAUUUCUGGUGAAUUCUAAUAGAAAUAUUUGAUAAUUAUUUACUUGUACUGAUCUGUUUUAGAAACUAAAAUUAUUAAGUAUUUCCUACCAAUUUUCCUAAAUAAAGUUCCAGCUUAAUAAAUGACGGUUUAAAUAAAUUGAGUAAAUUUCGCGGCUAAAGUGAUCACGUGUGCAGCUCCACAGGAAAAAAAUAUCUGCUUUCCUCAGCAGAGCAGAGACGUCGACUAGCCUUACUCCUCACAACUCCUCACAACUCCUGGUAAGUAACGUUAGUCAGCUAAUCCUACUUACGUUUGUAACACUUUAUUAUAAAGUUAAUAAUUAUUAAGCAUUUCCUAACAAUUGUCUUUGUAUUUUACGUCAUCUUCAACAAGUUUCGUAGCUUAAUCGAAGUCACCCGAAGGACGGCUUUCCUGAGUUUCCUCAGCAACGGCAAGACCCGCACUCCUCUCAUAUCGUGAAGUUUAACAAGUUUCGUGGCUCAAGCAAGAGGCACAUGUCACUGAAGGACUGCUUUUCUCAGCAACGACGUGAACAGCAUUACUCGAAUUUCCUGGUUCAGCUGAUCUACCAGUCUUCGUACAAGCAGAGUUGGCAGAGGAGGUCAUAAAAAUCUACAUCCUUCGGGACAAUGAUGGGGCAGUCAGCGAUGUAGGAGUUGUGAUUGAGGGCAUCACUGUCCUCCGCAAUCUUGGGAAUCUCAGCAGAGCCUGCUGCUAUCUUUUGGGAGUCACGUAUGCAUUGGAUUUGAGAUAUCCCAAGACCCACAAAAAUUAGCAUAUUGUGAUA